RNAcentral lists this long non-coding RNA (227 nucleotides) under Elaeis guineensis (African oil palm). Its description in RNAcentral is "long non-coding RNA (EGUI_LNC028513)". The record is from RNAcentral. Lineage: Eukaryota; Viridiplantae; Streptophyta; Magnoliopsida; Arecales; Arecaceae.
GGAAUAAGGGCCGAAUGAAAAGAGGACCGGGGGAUCGGGCGAUACCUAGUCGGGGGACCAAGCUCAGGCCAGCGUCAUAGAGAGCUUGUUCGGUAACAAGCUCCCUCUGCUUUGGAACCGACAUGUCUUUGAGUCGGUGGAAGUCCUCCCGGUCGUCCGCCUCCACCCGGCUGUUGUCAUUUGCUUCGGUUCGGGGCACGCCCCAGUGGGAAGGGAAGCCCCAGGGA